Molecule: long non-coding RNA, 997 nt
Organism: Pungitius pungitius (ninespine stickleback)
Lineage: Eukaryota; Metazoa; Chordata; Actinopteri; Perciformes; Gasterosteidae
Exons: 4
Source: RefSeq, a predicted model, not a curated record
GUUAGGUGUGCCAUAGCAGCAGCUUCGUCUUCUUCUUCUUCUUUGCUGGUCGCCAAUGUUUCCUUCGGAGAGCUCCGCCCCUCUGUUUACAUGACGUCAUCGGAAUCGAAGGCGAAAGCGGAAACGGCGCUACCAUGGAUUUGGUGUUUUCAGCUUUGCUUGGUAUGGUGACUACUCCUAGAGCCGACUGAAGCAGGGGGGCUACUCUGUGUUGGACAUCACACCACCCCCCCCCCCCAUCACCAACACUUUGCUGCUUCGAUCCUGCGGCGGUUCAAACAAACACGCUCCACCACUCACUCACGUUGUGUACUUUGGCCAAACGUCCUCCAUCCCUUUACUUAUGUCAAUACUACUGAUGAAAACAUGGGCCACAUGUUUGGAGCAGAGCAUAAUAAAUCCACUUAAAGCAUGACCAGUGGCUGAGCUGUGUGUAUCUCAAAAUAUCAGAACAAUACCAGGUAAAAAAAACCCACAUUUUCCAUAGAAAAUAGAAUGUAUGCAUUUGUUUUUAUGUUUCCCCGUGUUCCACAGGCCGGCACUGGAUGCAGCGUGAUCAGAGACCCAGACCAGAAGAGAAAAUCUGGAAUUAAAUCCAACAACUCUGACCUAUUUAUGCAAACCAUUUAAACAUGUGCUUAACAUUUCUGCUGCUAUUUAAACAGAGUCCACAUUGUUCUUCACUGUUUCACCAAAUCUCCUGGAGAACCAUAGGCUGCACAAGGUCAAAUGUAUCUUGAAGCUUCAUCAACCCGUUGUCAACAUGUCCAAAGCAAGACCACAACACGAGCUGGAGGCACCUAAAGCCCAUGUAGUGGUCUUCCCAGGACGUUGAGUCUAGGGUUAGACACAGUUUGGACCUCUACUGCUCUUCUCCGAUCCCCCUCCACAGCGGUCCUGCUGGUUCACGCGCUGCACUCAGAGUCCCCCCCCCUCCCCCGCUGGUCUUCAGGCCGCUUGGACUUCCUGCUCCUGCACAGCACUCGGUUCUUGGCAG